GAUGCACACGCCAUCUGCUUCUCCCUCCCCAGCAGUAGCACCUAGAGGCCCCGCUGUUCGCACAGCAAGACACGCCCCCGCACGUGCCGCGCAGACUGCAGCCAUGCGCCUCCACAGCUGCCGACAAUCACCUAUCAACGCAGCUGGUCUUGACGAGAGGCAGCGGCAUAAAAACUCACGCCACUGACUGCUCCAUGCCGGAACAACCUUUUGAUUCAUACCUCCGUGUCUCUGCAGUGAGCGGUGCGUCUCACCUGCUAAAUUCUUUCCCCGGACUCUGACUGCCUCCCUGGACCCUCGACCCCCCGCGCUUGCACCUGGAUCUCUGGACGUCUCUCUCUUGCCUCCACGGACCUCGCUAGGAUUUUGGACCUCUCUCGCUUCACCCUUCUGGACCUGUUUGCUACUGCAAUCAACACACACUUACAACAACCCCAGGUAACUUAUAUUUGAGUAACUUCCACACAUAGCCUUGCAUCCACACACAUAGUUGCAUACACACCCCAUGUACUCAUCAAGCCAAAAUAAAACCUUUGAGCUAGA
Molecule: long non-coding RNA, 543 nt
Organism: Nerophis ophidion (straightnose pipefish)
Lineage: Eukaryota; Metazoa; Chordata; Actinopteri; Syngnathiformes; Syngnathidae
Exons: 2
Source: RefSeq, a predicted model, not a curated record